RNAcentral lists this ribosomal RNA (603 nucleotides) under Fomitopsis tianshanensis. RNAcentral's name for it is "partial small subunit ribosomal RNA". It matches the Rfam family "Bacterial small subunit ribosomal RNA", at positions 397 to 964 of the family's 1533-position model. Lineage: Eukaryota; Fungi; Basidiomycota; Agaricomycetes; Polyporales; Fomitopsidaceae. The record is from RNAcentral.
CCUCGGAAGUGACUAGCUACUGAAUCACUAAUUGAUCUUAUCAAUGUGAUAUAGUAAGGGAAAACAAAUGAUAUUACUUUACUUAUAGUGUUGUCUAAUUCUGGUGCCAGAAGACUCGGUAAUACCAGUAACGCGAACGUUAGUCAUCUUUAUCAGGCGUAAAGGGUUUGUAGGCAGCUUUUAAAAAAAAAUUCUUAACUAUAUUGUCCUUUUUUAUUCUUUUGUUUUUAUUAAAAAAAAAGACAAAAAAGGAAUAAAUAGUGAAGUCUCUAAUUUGAGAGCUAGAAUCAAAUAGAAGUUAAAAAGUAUAAUACUUAGAGAAGGGUUGAUAUUCUUAGAACCUAAGGGGAAUACUAAAGGUGUAAACAACUAACUAUAAAUGAUUGACGCUGAGACACGAAGGUGAGGAUAGGAAAUAGGAUUAGAUACCCCGGUACCCCUCUCUGUAAACGAUGAAUGGUAGUUAUUAGUGUAUUACUGGUAACGAAGCUAACGCGUUAACCAUUCCGCCUUGGGAGUACGAUUGCAAAGUUGAAAACAAAAAAAUUAGUCGGUCUCGGAGCAAACGGAGUGAAGCAUGUUAUUUAAUUCGAUAAUCCGCAA